Molecule: ribosomal RNA, 495 nt
Filed under: uncultured bacterium
Lineage: Bacteria
Description: partial 16S ribosomal RNA
Rfam family: Bacterial small subunit ribosomal RNA
Source: RNAcentral
GAUGAACGCUGGCGGCGUGCCUAAUACAUGCAAGUCGAGCGAACAGACGAGGAGCUUGCUCCUCUGACGUUAGCGGCGGACGGGUGAGUAACACGUGGAUAACCUACCUAUAAGACUGGGAUAACUUCGGGAAACCGGAGCUAAUACCGGAUAAUAUAUUGAACCGCAUGGUUCAAUAGUGAAAGACGGUUUUGCUGUCACUUAUAGAUGGAUCCGCGCCGCUUUAGCUAGUUGGUAAGGUAACGGCUUACCAAGGCAACGAUGCGUAGCCGACCUGAGAGGGUGAUCGGCCACACUGGAACUGAGACACGGUCCAGACUCCUACGGGAGGCAGCAGUAGGGAAUCUUCCGCAAUGGGCGAAAGCCUGACGGAGCAACGCCGCGUGAGUGAUGAAGGUCUUCGGAUCGUAAAACUCUGUUAUUAGGGAAGAACAAAUGUGUAAGUAACUAUGCACGUCUUGACGGUACCUAAUCAGAAAGCCACGGCUAACUACG